UACAGAGGUCUCAAGCGUUGUUCGGAUUCAUUGGGCGUAAAGGGUGUGUAGGUGGCGCGCUAAGUCGGGUGUGAAAUUUCGGAGCUCAACUCCGAAACUGCAUUCAAUACUGCCUUGCUGGAGUACUGGAGAGGAGAUUGGAAUUUACGGUGUAGCAGUGAAAUGCGUAGAUAUCGUAAGGAAGACCAGUGGCGAAGGCGGGUCUCUGGACAGUUCCUGACACUGAGACACGAAGGCCAGGGGAGCAAACGGG
This 253-nucleotide ribosomal RNA is filed under the name uncultured bacterium. RNAcentral describes it as "partial 16S ribosomal RNA". It matches the Rfam family "Bacterial small subunit ribosomal RNA", at positions 524 to 776 of the family's 1533-position model. The record is from RNAcentral.